CCAUCAUCUGAAAACAGGUGAAGCACCAUUUACUACACGCAGCCGUAGUUCACUGACAAGCUAGCCCAUAUAGCAUUCAUUAUCGCAUAAAUUUACAUUAAAGUUUUAUUGAAAAUGAAUGCAUGAUUUGUCAUUUUCAGAGUUCACAAGACUUCUCUGUGUUAUUCCCUGACCAUGCCGAAAAGCUAUUUGAAACUUGGGCACUGCAUUUUACAGACAGAAUCCUGCAACUUCCCAGCCAAGAACCAGGAGCAUCAACAAAUCACCUACAGAACCCCAUGAUGAUAUUCCAACUCCUGUCUACAAAAGUGGGAAGAAAAUCUUAAGUUUAUGUUGGGACCAACAUGGUUGCAUUCUUCUGAGAGGCUGAGGUGACAAAACCAUUCCCAUUUGUCCUUGGAUUGGAAGA
This is a non-coding RNA of Paramisgurnus dabryanus, 409 nucleotides long. The record is from RefSeq and is a predicted model, not a curated record. Lineage: Eukaryota; Metazoa; Chordata; Actinopteri; Cypriniformes; Cobitidae.